RNAcentral lists this ribosomal RNA (507 nucleotides) under uncultured bacterium. RNAcentral describes it as "bacterial SSU rRNA". It matches the Rfam family "Bacterial small subunit ribosomal RNA", at positions 975 to 1482 of the family's 1533-position model. The record is from RNAcentral.
CUGGUCUUGACAUCCACAGAACUUUCCAGAGAUGGAUUGGUGCCUUCGGGAACUGUGAGACAGGUGCUGCAUGGCUGUCGUCAGCUCGUGUUGUGAAAUGUUGGGUUAAGUCCCGCAACGAGCGCAACCCUUAUCUUUUGUUGCCAGCGGUCCGGCCGGGAACUCAAAGGAGACUGCCAGUGAUAAACUGGAGGAAGGUGGGGAUGACGUCAAGUCAUCAUGGCCCUUACGACCAGGGCUACACACGUGCUACAAUGGCGCAUACAAAGAGAAGCGACCUCACGAGAGCAAGCGGACCUCAUAAAGUGCGUCGUAGUCCGGAUUGGAGUCUGCAACUCGACUCCAUGAAGUCGGAAUCGCUAGUAAUCGNGGAUCANAAUGCCACGGNGAAUACGUUCCCGGGCCUUGUACACACCGCCGUCACACCAUGGGAGUGGGUUGCAAAAGAAGUAGGUAGCUUAACCUUCGGGAGGGCGCUUACCACUUUGUGAUUCAUGACUGGGGGUG